Molecule: ribosomal RNA, 429 nt
Filed under: Acidobacteriota bacterium
Lineage: Bacteria; Pseudomonadati; Acidobacteriota
Description: Acidobacteria bacterium partial 16S ribosomal RNA
Rfam family: Bacterial small subunit ribosomal RNA
Source: RNAcentral
UGGGGAAUUUUGGACAAUGGGGGAAACCCUGAUCCAGCCAUCCCGCGUGUGCGAUGAAGGCCUUCGGGUUGUAAAGCACUUUUGGCAGGAAAGAAACGUCAUGGGUUAAUACCCCGUGAAACUGACGGUACCUGCAGAAUAAGCACCGGCUAACUACGUGCCAGCAGCCGCGGUAAUACGUAGGGUGCAAGCGUUAAUCGGAAUUACUGGGCGUAAAGCGUGCGCAGGCGGUUCGGAAAGAAAGAUGUGAAAUCCGAGAGCUCAACGUUGGAACUGCAUUUUUAACUACCGGGCUAGAGUGUGUCAGAGGGAGGUGGAAUUCCGCGUGUAGCAGUGAAAUGCGUAGAUAUGCGGAGGAACACCGAUGGCGAAGGCAGCCUCCUGGGAUAACACUGACGCUCAUGCACGAAAGCGUGGGGAGCAAACAGG